GGAAAAGAAACUAACAAGGAUUCCCCUAGUAACGGCGAGUGAAGCGGGAAGAGCUCAAAUUUGUAAUCUGGCACUUUCAGUGUCCGAGUUGUAAUCUCGAGAAGUAUUUUCCGCGCCGGACCGCACACAAGUCUGUUGGAAUACAGCGUCAUAGUGGUGAAAACCCCGUAUCUGGUGCGGAUGCCCGGUGCUUUGUGAUAUACUUUCGAAGAGUCGAGUUGUUUGGGAAUGCAGCUCAAAUUGGGUGGUAAAUUCCAUCUAAAGCUAAAUAUUGGCGAGAGACCGAUAGCGAACAAGUACCGUGAGGGAAAGAUGAAAAGCACUUUGGAAAGAGAGUUAACAGUACGUGAAAUUGUUGGAAGGGAAACGCUUGAAGUCAGACUUGCAUUUCGGAGUUCAGCCGCAAGGUGUAUUCUUCGAUUCGCAGGCCAGCAUCAGUUUUCGGGGGUGGAAAAGCGCGGUUAGAAGGUAGCAGUUUCGGCUGCGUUAUAGCUUUCCGCUGGAUUCACUUUUGGGGACUGAGGAACGCAGUGUGCUUUUAGCAAGACCCUCGGGUCUUUCACACUUAGGAUGCUGGUGGAAUGGCUU
Molecule: ribosomal RNA, 588 nt
Filed under: Fulvisporium restifaciens
Lineage: Eukaryota; Fungi; Basidiomycota; Microbotryomycetes; Microbotryales; Ustilentylomataceae
Description: partial large subunit ribosomal RNA
Rfam family: Eukaryotic large subunit ribosomal RNA
Source: RNAcentral